CCUACGGGUGGCAGCAGUGGGGAAUAUUGGGCAAUGGGCGCAAGCCUGACCCAGCAACGCCGCGUGAAGGAAGAAGGCUUUCGGGUUGUAAACUUCUUUUCUCAGGGACGAAGAAAGUGACGGUACCGGAGGAAUAAGCCACGGCUAACUACGUGCCAGCAGCCGCGGUAAUACGGAGGUGGCAAGCGUUAUCCGGAUUUAUUGGGGGUAAAGGGCGUGUAGGCGGGAGCGCAAGUCAGAUGUGAAAACUCAGGGCUCAACCCUGAGCCUGCAUUUGAAACUGUGUUUCUUGAGUGCUGGAGAGGCAAUCGGAAUUCCGGGUGUAGCGGUGAAAUGCGUAGAUAUACGGAGGAACACCAGUGGCGAAGGCGGAUUGCUGGACAGUAACUGACGCUGAGGCGCGAAAGCGUGGGGAGCAAACAGGAUUAGAUACCCCUGUAGUC
This 443-nucleotide ribosomal RNA is filed under the name uncultured bacterium. RNAcentral's name for it is "partial 16S ribosomal RNA". It matches the Rfam family "Bacterial small subunit ribosomal RNA", at positions 338 to 795 of the family's 1533-position model. The record is from RNAcentral.